GAUGAACGCUGGCGGCGUGCCUAAUACAUGCAAGUCGAGCGAACGGACGAGAAGCUUGCUUCUCUGAUGUUAGCGGCGGACGGGUGAGUAACACGUGGAUAACCUACCUAUAAGACUGGGAUAACUUCGGGAAACCGGAGCUAAUACCGGAUGAUAUUUUGAACCGCAUGGUUCAAAGGUGAAAGACGGUCUUGCUGUCACUUAUAGAUGGAUCCGCGCUGCAUUAGCUAGUUGGUAAGGUAACGGCUUACCAAGGCAACGAUGCAUAGCCGACCUGAGAGGGUGAUCGGCCACACUGGAACUGAGACACGGUCCAGACUCCUACGGGAGGCAGCAGUAGGGAAUCUUCCGCAAUGGGCGAAAGCCUGACGGAGCAACGCCGCGUGAGUGAUGAAGGUCUUCGGAUCGUAAAACUCUGUUAUUAGGGAAGAACAUAUGUGUAAGUAACUGUGCACAUCUUGAUGGUACCUAAUCAGAAAGCCACGGCUAACUACGUG
RNAcentral lists this ribosomal RNA (497 nucleotides) under uncultured bacterium. Its description in RNAcentral is "partial 16S ribosomal RNA". It matches the Rfam family "Bacterial small subunit ribosomal RNA", at positions 28 to 507 of the family's 1533-position model. The record is from RNAcentral.